Molecule: long non-coding RNA, 842 nt
Organism: Dreissena polymorpha
Lineage: Eukaryota; Metazoa; Mollusca; Bivalvia; Myida; Dreissenidae
Exons: 4
Source: RefSeq, a predicted model, not a curated record
GAGUUGAAGUGACGUAAUUAACCUCAACGGGUCUUCGUCAUAACUUUGAAUUUUACUACGAUAUAGAAAAGCUUCAUACGUGUUUUAUAAGCGAUUUGAUAACACCUUAAAUUAACAUCGUUUUAUUUAUAUAAACUGAUUUUUAAAGCUACUGUACAGUAACCGAAGUGAGGACUGAACAGAUGUCAAAAUGUUCUUCGCCUUUCUUUUCGUGAUAUUGGUCACGUCUCAGCAUGCAUCCUCUGUCACCAUUCGAGCUGACUUUUCGGAGAAGCACUUAGCAGAACUGUCAAAUCCACCUACGAAAAGCGCAGUCUUUGAACGUCAAAGAGAUAUAAAAAAUAAACAUCCUCAGAGAACAAUAAAUCACAUAAUCUUUUCUAACAAUUUAGCAAACUUACAAGACGGGUUUAAAAACAGCGUUGAACAAAUGAUCCAGUUUGGAAAAUGUCCAAACACAACUGGAAACGGGAACGUAAACAACAAAAAGUGUUCUCUUAACAGCACUCUCUUUUCGGAUGGGAUCGUUUGGUCUAUGUGGCCUAACGUUAAUUCCGUGGAACCAGAAAACUGUUACUAUGUCAGGUCCUGUAACAUCACAAUAGGUCUUCUUGGACUUUCAAAUGAGAUGAAACACUUGUUUCCAAUAAAUACAUCAACAGACUGCCUCACUGUGAAAGAAUGUGAAGACCCACCAGGUGUUGAACAACUGAAAAAUGUGGGUUUAAAAGUCUCCGGAGCAACUUUUCAUUUACGAUCGCACUUUUUAAGGUAACGUCAGAGCAUGCUUUGAUCGUUUGAAUGUUUUAAAUAAAGCAUACACAUUGGUGAUAACAUAUCUU